UACGGGGGGCGCAAGCGUUGCUCGGAAUCACUGGGCGUAAAGCGUACGCAGGCGGCGCGUUAAGUCGGGUGUGAAAGCCCGGGGCUCAACCCCGGAACUGCAUUCGAUACUGGCGCGCUUGAAUACGGAAGAGGGGAGCGGAAUUCCUGGUGUAGAGGUGAAAUUCGUAGAUAUCAGGAGGAACAUCAGUGGCGAAAGCGGCUCCCUGGUCCGAUAUUGACGCUCAUGUACGAAAGCGUGGGGAGCAAACAGG
RNAcentral lists this ribosomal RNA (253 nucleotides) under uncultured prokaryote. Its description in RNAcentral is "partial 16S ribosomal RNA". It matches the Rfam family "Bacterial small subunit ribosomal RNA", at positions 524 to 776 of the family's 1533-position model. The record is from RNAcentral.